AAAAAAACGACUAAUCGCCGUUCAUCUCUCCGUCGUUCUUCUCUCGUCGCCGGCAAACCUUCUUUUCUUCCCUCUUCUCUCCGAAUCGAAACCUUCAUUCUUCUUCUCGUUGGAAAUUCUUUGUUAGAAAUCCAAUCCAAAUCCACGUUCCUUCGUCUCCUUUCUUGUAAGCUAUAAAUUCUUCAUUCUCAUUCUUUCUUUUGUUUGAUUUCGAUGGAUUUUGUUGGGUUUUGUUUGUGAAACGGAUGAUUUUUCGGAUUUGAAUUUGUUGUAAUUUUCUGAUUGAAUUUGUCCCAAUUUUUGAUUUGAAUUUCUCUCUAUUUUCGGAUUUGAAUUACUUUAGAUAGAUUCAAAAGGAUUCCGAUUCAAAAUGUGUUUAAAUGUGUUUCGGAUUUGAAUUUGUUGAAAACCCAAACUUUAUCUCUUAUAAUUAUGUAGAUAGAUAAUGAGAUUAUGUGAGUUUGUGUUUGGAUUGCUCGUUUAUUGUCUUGGUUUAGACAAUGAGAGUUUCAUAGUGACCAAAAACCAUCCGUAUUAUUUAGGUAGAAUUUAAGAUUGCUUUUGAAUGUUUGAUAUUGAAGAAAGAGGAAGAGAAGGAAAAAGAGAAGGAGAUGGAGCAAGAGCAGGCGAAGCACAUGGAGCAAGAGAAGAGUUCAGCUCCUAUUUUGGUCUCUGAUGAUGAGUUUCGCUUGUAUACUGGUCUUUGAUGUUGAUGUAUAAAUUUAAGUGUUUAGGUACAACUGGUACGAUUAGGUACAACUAUGUUUCUGGGUUUAUGUUUUGUGAUUAUGUAUGAAUCUUUGAAUUUGAAUCCAAUUAUGUAUGAAUCUUUUAAUCUGAAUCUUAAAUUUUUAUGUAUCAAUCUAUGUAUUGAAUA
Molecule: long non-coding RNA, 877 nt
Filed under: Arabidopsis lyrata
Lineage: Eukaryota; Viridiplantae; Streptophyta; Magnoliopsida; Brassicales; Brassicaceae
Description: long non-coding RNA (ALYR_LNC002014)
Source: RNAcentral